Molecule: ribosomal RNA, 741 nt
Filed under: Streptomyces sp.
Lineage: Bacteria; Bacillati; Actinomycetota; Actinomycetes; Kitasatosporales; Streptomycetaceae
Description: bacterial SSU rRNA
Rfam family: Bacterial small subunit ribosomal RNA
Source: RNAcentral
UGCAGUCGACGAUGAACCGCUUUCGGGCGGGGAUUAGUGGCGAACGGGUGAGUAACACGUGGGCAAUCUGCCCUGCACUCUGGGACAAGCCCUGGAAACGGGGUCUAAUACCGGAUAUGACUGUCCAUCGCAUGGUGGAUGGUGUAAAGCUCCGGCGGUGCAGGAUGAGCCCGCGGCCUAUCAGCUUGUUGGUGAGGUAGUGGCUCACCAAGGCGACGACGGGUAGCCGGCCUGAGAGGGCGACCGGCCACACUGGGACUGAGACACGGCCCAGACUCCUACGGGAGGCAGCAGUGGGGAAUAUUGCACAAUGGGCGAAAGCCUGAUGCAGCGACGCCGCGUGAGGGAUGACGGCCUUCGGGUUGUAAACCUCUUUCAGCAGGGAAGAAGCGAAAGUGACGGUACCUGCAGAAGAAGCGCCGGCUAACUACGUGCCAGCAGCCGCGGUAAUACGUAGGGCGCAAGCGUUGUCCGGAAUUAUUGGGCGUAAAGAGCUCGUAGGCGGCUUGUCACGUCGGUUGUGAAAGCCCGGGGCUUAACCCCGGGUCUGCAGUCGAUACGGGCAGGCUAGAGUUCGGUAGGGGAGAUCGGAAUUCCUGGUGUAGCGGUGAAAUGCGCAGAUAUCAGAGGAACACCGGUGGCGAAGCGGAUCUCUGGGCCGAUACUGACGCUGAGAGCGAAGCGUGGGGAGCGAACAGGAUUAGAUACCUGUAGUCCACGCCGUAAACGGUGGGCACUAGG